CAGCGGGGGCUUCGGCCUGCCGGCGAGUGGCGAACGGGUGAGUAAUGCAUCGGAACGUGCCCAGUCAUGGGGGAUAACUACGCGAAAGCGUAGCUAAUACCGCAUACGCCCUGAGGGGGAAAGCGGGGGAUCGCAAGACCUCGCGUGAUUGGAGCGGCCGAUGUCGGAUUAGCUAGUUGGUGGGGUAAAGGCCUACCAAGGCGACGAUCCGUAGCGGGUCUGAGAGGAUGAUCCGCCACACUGGGACUGAGACACGGCCCAGACUCCUACGGGAGGCAGCAGUGGGGAAUUUUGGACAAUGGGGGCAACCCUGAUCCAGCCAUGCCGCGUGAGUGAAGAAGGCCUUCGGGUUGUAAAGCUCUUUCAGACGGAAAGAAAUCGGGUGGGUCAAUACCCUGCCUGGAUGACGGUACUGUCAGAAGAAGCACCGGCUAACUACGUGCCAGCAGCCGCGGUAAUACGUAGGGUGCGAGCGUUAAUCGGAAUUACUGGGCGUAAAGCGUGCGCAGGCGGUUGUGUAAGACAGGUGUG
This 531-nucleotide ribosomal RNA is filed under the name uncultured bacterium. Its description in RNAcentral is "bacterial SSU rRNA". It matches the Rfam family "Bacterial small subunit ribosomal RNA", at positions 70 to 596 of the family's 1533-position model. The record is from RNAcentral.